UGCACCAAAUUGGGAAAUUUAUACAUUAAAUUCUAACCAUAACCCACAUCCACGCUUAAUUCAUUUUUAUAACAACGAAGGAGGGCAGGAAAUAAUUCAGACAACAGAUGCUAACGUGCGCCGAUUGAAACUUUAACGCCUUUGAGACAGUGUCAGUGGGGUAUGGUUCUUUUGCCACACAAUUGUCAACGUCACUAUGCUAUUGUGUGCCACCAGUGCGCACAUUAACAGAGAGCACCACCAAAAACGCUGGUAUUCUUUGAUUAGAUAUGUAACUACAAGCUUAAUUUAUGAAUAUCAAUGGCGUGGCAGGAAACACUAUGAUCCUGUUCAUCUUACAGAUCCAGAUAAUUCGUCACUACAAAUUACAUAAUUUUUUAUAGGCAUUUUCUUAUUUGAAUCUCUGUUUUUAGCAAGAAUUUAAUAGAUCAAGGUAAAACAGAAACAGAAAUGGAAAAAUAAUGGCACGUAUUACCAGAUCAGGAUGCACAUUACUGAUUCAGCACUAUAAAGGACAGCAAAAACCAAAACUAUGAAGGAAAUAGAAUUUAGAAAUGUACCUCAUCGUUAAGUGAAGCAGGAGUUGGAGAGACGGAAUCGGCACUAGGUCCGGGGGCUUCGGUUGGAGGUGCGGGUGGGCUUAACAGCUCCGGAGCCGGAGCAGGUGAAGGUGAAGUGUGCUUCUUGCCCUUCUUCUUGCUGUGAGCCGGAGCCUUAGCCGGAGUCUCACUCGGGGGCGCAGAAGCCGGAGCUGGUGGUGUGGCCGCCUUGGGAGCCGGAGAUGGUGGAGACUGGACUGGAGCAGCCGUAGGUGGUGAGCUGACUGGCUCCGGAGCUGGAGGCGAGCUCACUGGUUAUUAAUUUUUCAACCAUAUUUUUUCAAUUUUUAUCAAAUAAUUGAGUUAUGAAUAAUCAAAUAAUAAUACAAUAACAGAAGAUGACAAUGACAGUCAAUACAAAAAGUACAACUCUCCCCUCAAACUGUAUGCCAAAGAAUACUAAAAUCCCCAAUCGGAUCCGAAUCAAACCCGGAUGUUUCACAAGCAUAUAAACAGACAAACUAUAAAUAUGUUAAAUGAAGAUGGGUUUGGGGACAAAAGUUUUCCGAAAUAAUCGUGUUUUCUAGAAGAGGAGCCAGCCAAACACGGCCCCUCCCAACACCAAACUUCCCAGCAGCUUCUGCAACCCCAUCAAUUUCUCUGCUCCACUCUGCACCAAAAUGGGAAAUUUAUACAUUAAAUUCUAACCAUAACCCACAUGCACGCUUAAUUCAUUUUUAUAACAACGAAGGAGGGCAGGAAUUAAUUCAGACAACAGAUGCUAACGUGCGCCGAUUGAAACUUUAACGCCUUUGAGACGAUGUCAGUGGGGUAUGGUUCUUUUGCCACACAAUUGUUAACGUCACUAUGCUAUUGUGUGCCACCAGUGCGCACAUUAACAGAGAGCACCACCAAAAACGCUGGUAUUCUUUGAUUAGAUAUGUAACUACAAGCUUAAUUUAUGAAUAUCAAUGGCGUGGCAGAAACACUAUGAUCCUGUUCAUCUUACAGAUCCAGAAAAUUCGUCACUACAAAUUACAUAAUUUUUUAUAGGCAUUGUCUUAUUUGAAUCUCUGUUUUUAGCAAGAAUUUAAUAGAUCAAGGUAAAACAGAAACAGAAAUGGAAAAAUAAUGGCACGUAUUACCAGAUCAAGAUGCACAUUACUGAUUCAGCACUAUAAAGGACAGCAAAAACCAAAACUAUGAAGGAAAUAGAAUUUAGAAAUGUACCUCAUCGUUAAGUGAAGUAGGAGUUGGAGAGACGGAAUCGGCGCUAGGUCCGGGGGCUUCGGUUGGAGGUGCGGGUGGGCUUGACAGCUCCGGAGCCGGAGCAGGUGAAGGUGAAGUGUGCUUCUUGCCCUUCUUCUUGCUGUGAGCCGGAGCCUUAGCCGGAGUCUCACUCGGGGGCGCAGAAGCCGGAGCUGGUGGUGUGGCCGCCUCGGGAGCCGGAGAUGGUGGAGACUGGACUGGAGCAGCCGUA
Molecule: long non-coding RNA, 2019 nt
Filed under: Olea europaea (common olive)
Lineage: Eukaryota; Viridiplantae; Streptophyta; Magnoliopsida; Lamiales; Oleaceae
Description: long non-coding RNA (OEUR_LNC006927)
Source: RNAcentral